This 75-nucleotide transfer RNA is filed under the name Bacteroidales bacterium. RNAcentral describes it as "tRNA-Arg". It matches the Rfam family "tRNA". From Rfam's summary of the family: Transfer RNA (tRNA) molecules are approximately 80 nucleotides in length. Their secondary structure includes four short double-helical elements and three loops (D, anti-codon, and T loops). RNAcentral also lists the same sequence under 1 other name. The record is from RNAcentral. Lineage: Bacteria; Pseudomonadati; Bacteroidota; Bacteroidia; Bacteroidales.
GGCCCAUUAGCUCAAUUGGAUUAGAGCAUCUGACUACGGAUCAGAAGGUUGAGGAUUCGAAUUCUUCAUGGGUCA